Molecule: ribosomal RNA, 423 nt
Filed under: uncultured prokaryote
Description: bacterial SSU rRNA
Rfam family: Bacterial small subunit ribosomal RNA
Source: RNAcentral
UGAGGAAUAUUGGUCAAUGGGCGUAAGCCUGAACCAGCCAUCCCGCGUGAAGGACGAAGGCGCUAUGCGUUGUAAACUGCUUUUCCAGGGAGAGAAACUUGCGUACGCGUUGCGCAAUUGACGGUACCCUGGGAAUAAGCAUCGGCUAACUCCGUGCCAGCAGCCGCGGUACUACGGAGGAUGCGAGCGUUAUCCGGAGUCAUUGGGUUUAAAGGGUGCGUAGGCGGACUAUUAAGUCAGUGGUGAAAUCCUGCAGCUUAACUGCAGAACUGCCAUUGAUACUGAUAGCCUUGAGUUUGGUUAAGGUAGGCGUAAUGUGUAAUGUAGCGGUGAAAUGCUUAGAUAUUACGCAGGACACCAAUUGCGUAGGCAGCUUACUGAGCUGACACUGACGCUGAGGCACGAAAGCGUGGGGAUCGAACA